RNAcentral lists this ribosomal RNA (440 nucleotides) under bacterium. Its description in RNAcentral is "bacterial SSU rRNA". It matches the Rfam family "Bacterial small subunit ribosomal RNA", at positions 359 to 796 of the family's 1533-position model. The record is from RNAcentral.
CGUACCGCUUAGAUCAGAGUCUGACGGAGCACGCCGCGUGAGUGAUGAAGGUUUUCGGAUCGUAAAGCUCUGUUGUUAGGGAAGAACAAGUGCAAGAGUAACUGCUUGCACCUUGACGGUACCUAACCAGAAAGCCACGGCUAACUACGUGCCAGCAGCCGCGGUAAUACGUAGGUGGCAAGCGUUGUCCGGAAUUAUUGGGCGUAAAGGGCUCGCAGGCGGUUUCUUAAGUCUGAUGUGAAAGCCCCCGGCUCAACCGGGGAGGGUCAUUGGAAACUGGGAAACUUGAGUGCAGAAGAGGAGAGUGGAAUUCCACGUGUAGCGGUGAAAUGCGUAGAGAUGUGGAGGAACACCAGUGGCGAAGGCGACUCUCUGGUCUGUAACUGACGCUGAGGAGCGAAAGCGUGGGGAGCGAACAGGAUUAGAUACCCCGGUAGUCA